RNA transcript from Cydia pomonella (codling moth), 3479 nucleotides. It is a transcript of the gene named stromal cell-derived factor 2, with no coding region annotated. The record is from RefSeq and is a predicted model, not a curated record. The transcript is spliced from 5 exons. NCBI's taxonomy places the organism in Eukaryota, Metazoa, Arthropoda, Insecta, Lepidoptera, Tortricidae.
AAUGUCAUAUAAUAAAAAACCAGCCGACGGCAACGGCACGGCACACCGCAUCGGUUGACUCGUUAAUUUGUGCUUAUUUAUUUUAAGACUCUUACUAACUGAACGUAUACACAAAUACAUAAUGAUUCUCUACAAGAUUUCAAACGUAUUAGCGUUAUCAAUAAUGUCGAUUCUUCUUAUAAUUCAAGUAACAGAAGGUUCUAAAGCAGAGUUUGUUACGUGCGGCACCAUACUAAAAAUAAUGAAUGUGGAUUUACGUCUGAGGCUGCAUUCGCAUGAUGUGAAGUACGGCUCGGGUUCCGGCCAGCAAUCCGUCACCGCUGUCGACGCCGCGGACGACUACAAUAGUCAUUGGCUGGUUCGCGCUCCCAUGGGCGAAACAUGUAAAAGAGGAGAGCCUAUUAAGUGCAACUCCAACAUCCGUCUCCAUCAUGUAUCCACUAAGAAGAAUCUCCACUCCCACUAUUUCUCAUCUCCAUUGUCUGCCAACCAAGAGGUGUCUUGCUAUGGUGAUGAUGGAGGUGAAGGAGACAGUGGCGAUCACUGGACUGUGGUUUGCAACAACGACUACUGGAGAAGAGACUCCCCAAUUAAGUUGAGACAUGUUGACACUGCUGCGUUUUUGGCUGGCUCAGGACGCACAUUUGGUCGACCUAUCAGUGGACAGGGCGAGAUAGUGGGUGUCACCUCACAGUAUGGGGCUUACACUGACUGGCAAGCUAAAGAGGGCUUGUUUGUUCAUCCUAGUGACCCACUACCCAUGCACCAUGCAAUCCACACAGAAUUAUAAUGUAAUGCCCAGUCUUAUUUACCUUUUUGUAUGAUUGACUAAAUGUCAACAUUGUUACCCUCUUCUAAUUUAUAAAUCAUGUAUUAGUUUAUCCUCCUCCUCCAAAACUGAAAAAAAAAAGUUAAAUUAAAGUACCUUAAAUAACUAUAAUUAUGCAGAGAUUUCUGCUAUAACUAUCAGUCAGUUCAGUCCUUGACUAACAAUGAAAAAAAUGAAAUGAAAUGAAAUGAAAAUGAAAAUGAAAAUAUUUAAUUCAGACACCAAGUAUCCAUAUUUUUGUCUACAAGACUGUGUUAGUAAAAUAACAAGAAAAAUCUUAAAAAUAAAGUUAACAUUAAUGUUAGUGGAACACAUAAUGCUCAUUGGAUCUAACAUGCAUUGUCAUCCAGUGAGUUAUAAGAGGGCUAUCCACCCUUUCCGCAAUCACCCUCAGGAGAGUGUUGGUGCUGCCCCGCACGCGGUCCCACAGGGACGCCACCCUCUUACGCAGCACUGCGUGGAAACCGUCUGUGCUCCACUCAGCGAACAUUGCUGACGCGCUGCAGCGCCAGGGCAGCCCCAAUAAACCCCUGAAAGCGUUGUUGUACUGGACACGCAGAGCACUAAAGGUUUUUUGGGUGUAGUUGCUCCACAGGUUGCACGUGUACAGGUUUUGGCAGUAGGUUUUAAAUAAUGUAAUUUUUACCUCACGGGAACAGCGAGCAAACCUGCGUGACAACAUGUUACCCCUAACCGAUAGUGCUCUGCGUUCCCUCUCCAGGUCUUCAUUAUCUUUUAGAGUGUCUGUGACCCAAUGGCCCAAAUAUUUAAAUUUAGUAACUGUCUGAAGAGGAGAACCGUCUAGGUUAAUAGGUGGUAUAGAAUACGUUUUAGUACCAGACUUAAAGACUAAGAUCUCACUCUUCUUGACAUUAUAUUUGAGCCCGUGGGCCACAGAGUAUCUCUCACAUAUACCCAGCAAGACUUUUAAUACUGUACAAUACUGUAGACAUGUUUUUUGUGUUUUCAAUCGUUGAGAGAUGUUAAGCAUUCACACCAUGUUUUUAUUGAAUUCCGUUGGAGGCACGUCUACACUGGCCAUAUUGUGCGUGAGGAAGUUGCUUCGUGCGUAUGCUCUCUCUGUGUAGACCCGGCUAUUAAAUGUUGCAUAUAGCAUUGUUGUUACAUGGGCAUUACAUUUAACUCAACCAAUCUUUUGUAAAUUGUGACAUAUCAAUGUCAGUUCGAAUCGAACAUUGGUCAUCCGAGAUAGUAUUUGCGGUUCGUACUAAUCACUAAUCAAAAUGCAAACAGGCCCUAAGGCAAUUAUGUGUACACGCUUGUAGGGGCCUUUUCAGAUAAAAGUAAAUUAUUAAUUAUCUCCAAAAUAGAGUUAAUUAGAAUACCAGUGACCUCGAAAAAGUUACUUAAUUUAAGCUCGGGAAUGCGCCCUUGAAGUUAACGGAAAUUAAAAAAAAAAACAGUGUAUAUUCGACUUCUGUUGACAUUGCUUGAACCAAACAUGUUAAGAACCUCAACAGUUUGUCCAUAUAACACGGAAAUACCUAAUCAUUUGUCUAUUAAAUCAGACAUACGUUUUUACCUAGUGCUACAGAGAUAGUUCCAAAGUGCAUUAGAUAGAAAUAAUAUAAAUGUAACCUUCAUUGGUGUCAAUCAGGUCAAGCAGGCAGUAAUAAGCUGUAUCCCCAGGCCAGUAUGAAGCGAAGUUGCAUCCUCAGACAACAGCAGUGCAGCAGAUAAGUUAAUAACAUUAUAGCUGUAAUUCAAAUAUUAUUGUUAUGCUGUAGUCUACUCUGGUACCAACAUGAGGUACACAUUCACGCCUGUUAAACCGGUGUAUUCCCAUUUGUCGGCGACCGUCUGACCGCCGCCAUACAGGCACCUACCUGGGCCCGAUGGGGACACAUGGGAAUACACCACUUGGAAAGGAGUUUUAACUGAGGUACAACAACAAGAAACAACAACAACAAAUUGUUUAUUUGACAAAUAUAAGUUUAAACAGUGUUACAUGUUAAACUGACCUCCACACUAGGCAUAAUAGGAUAGGCUAUUUAGGUAUGUAAAGAGUUCUUGUAGGAAAGCAUGUUAAUAAUACUACGCAAGAAUUCGGUCCUGGGUAGUUUUUAACCUGGAUAAAAUGCCUGUCACAAGAAUAGAAUUCCUAUUUCUUCUAAUUUCAAGCUCAUUCCAAAAUAAUCGGUAACAUAAGGUUUAUGUGAUACUAAUUACUAGGGCUCGGUACCGGUAUUGAAAUACCCUAUCUUUCCAAAACAUACAUUCUCCUUACCGGUAAGAAGAGCGAACGAAAUUUUAUAGUUCGCGGAUAACGGUAACGGUAUUUAAUACUGGUUAAUCUCGGCUUCCGGAGACGCUCGGUCUAACUCGUCUUCAUACGUGAAAGAAAUAGCAAUUCUCGUUCUAUUUUGCGUUGAUAAUAUGUUCAAUUUAACCGGUUAAUUUCGUUCCACCAAAACUGGUAUCACAAUAGAAUAGUUCUUUAACCGGUAACCGCAAAUUUUUCGUUCCCGGGUCACCCGGGUGAAUGACUAAAUACGGUUUCCAAGCCCUGCUUAUUUCUAAGUUGUGGUUAAUUGUAUGCUGUUUUAAUUUUAUAAAGACGUUUUGAUACGAAACUUAUUCCGAAAGUGAUGAAAUUGUAAUGAAAUAAACGAUAAAGGUAUGUAGUGAA